This 781-nucleotide long non-coding RNA is filed under the name Salmo salar (Atlantic salmon). RNAcentral describes it as "lncRNA (ENSSSAG00000086247.1)". Lineage: Eukaryota; Metazoa; Chordata; Actinopteri; Salmoniformes; Salmonidae. The record is from RNAcentral.
CACACAUUGAGGUGAUCAGUGAGGUGUGUAGUGGGAAAAGGGGUAAUACACACAUUGAGGUGAUCAGUGAGGUGUGUAUGGGAAAAGGGGUAAUACACACAUUGAGGUGAUCAGUGAGGUGUGUAGUGGGAAAAGGGGUAAUACACACAUUGAGGUGAUCAGUGAGGUGUGUAGUGGGAUAGAGAGAGGAGCUGUGACAUGGUAAAUACCUUCUGGAAAACUGAGAGACUCUAAAGGUUCCGUUCUGCAAGGCUCAGGACAGGUAGUGAUGGAGGGGGAACAGUCAGACCAGGGCUUGAACCGGAGACCCUGGGUUACAGGGCAGGCAUUCUGCCAUAAAGGUCCAGACCUCUUGGCAGAGGGCGUAGUGUGCUCACAUACAAGGAGACAACCCAACAUAGACCAGGGGCUGAUACAGUGGAUUGAUUCAUCAGUGUCAAACCAAACGUGUGGCUUAGUUAGAAAUGGACUCUUUGGUUCAUUUUCCAAAUACAGGUGUCCUAUGUAUGCACACACACACACAUUCAUCAACAUACACACACAGGCACACACACACACAUUCAUCAACAUACACACACACAGGCACACACACACACAUUCAUCAACAUACACACACACAGGCACACACACACACAUUCAUCAACAUACACACACACAGGCACACGCACACAUUCAUCAACAUACACACACACACACAGGCACACACACACACAAACACACUCAUCAGUGUGUACACACACACACACAAACACACACACAAACACACUCAUCAGUGUGUACA